This 210-nucleotide long non-coding RNA is filed under the name Olea europaea (common olive). Its description in RNAcentral is "long non-coding RNA (OEUR_LNC010122)". The record is from RNAcentral. Lineage: Eukaryota; Viridiplantae; Streptophyta; Magnoliopsida; Lamiales; Oleaceae.
GAAUAUAUAGUUUACAAAUAUCAUAUAUAACUACAUUGCCUGAAGGAGUAUUGAGUUGUUUUAAUUCUCAUCAAAAUGUUUGAUAAAAGUCUUCAAGCUUAUAUCGUUUAGCUUAUGACUGCUCAGCCUUGGAUUUCCAUCUGAAUCUCACUGAUUAUUAAGAAAUACAGAGUUUACAUUUUCGAAAGAUGGUGGCUCAUUGAAUAUAAC